RNAcentral lists this long non-coding RNA (860 nucleotides) under Anas platyrhynchos platyrhynchos (common mallard). RNAcentral describes it as "lncRNA (ENSAPLG00000029766.1)". Lineage: Eukaryota; Metazoa; Chordata; Aves; Anseriformes; Anatidae. The record is from RNAcentral.
CAAGCAGCCUCAGUAGGGAUCAUGCCAGUCAUAACCCUAAAUACAGGGGAAGGAUCUCAAACACCAUGUGGUACAGAGGUGAGACAAGAAGGGACUGUGACAGAUCCACAGAGCUGACUGAAGCUGUGACACUCAUUGUCUUCCUGUGGAUUCCUGCAAUCACGCAGGAUUCUGCACAUUCUGAACAACUCACUUCGUCCCUCAAGAGAUUAUAGACAAAGGGCUACAGUCAGUCUUACUAUCAUAAGUGUGAAAUAACCCCUUUCAACUUAACCGUGAUAGAACUGGAGCAGAUGUUGGAGAUGGUGGAAAUUGGUCCUGGCCCCUUGGGUUGGGACAACGAAGCAAGAUGCCUACCUGUUGUCCACUCUACAUUAUACAGAGAACCAGGGAAAGAGAAUAUGAACACUCAGAGAAACAAACCUUUUUGUGAAGAAAAGCUUCUAUCUCAGCAGUAUCAUGGAUGUCAAUCACAUUUAAACAGGCUGCAAAGAAAUAGAAGAUGGCAUUUUAGCGUGGUCAACAAAAGCAACUUCUCUGGAGUGGUAUAGGUAUUUUUAUUUUUUCCAUAAAGCUGAGUAGAAGCCAGCAAAGGUAUAGACUGAGGUCACUGGUUUCAGUGACUGGAAGGAACAACCCUAGCUCCCUGAAAUAGUUCUUGCUCCUGCCCUCUGUAUUUUAGUCAUGUAAAAAUGACAGCAUCAGUUCAGUGUAAAACCUUGCAGUGAUAAAACACCCCUCCACACACACACACACUCCCUUUACACCCAAAAAUAUAUUUGUAUCUGGGUUGAAAUGUUAGAAUGGAAUACCUUUACUCACAAUUUUUGUUAUGAUUAUUUACAGCCAGACAGGCAGAC